Long non-coding RNA from Nomascus leucogenys (northern white-cheeked gibbon), 889 nucleotides. RefSeq lists it as uncharacterized. NCBI's taxonomy places the organism in Eukaryota, Metazoa, Chordata, Mammalia, Primates, Hylobatidae. The record is from RefSeq and is a predicted model, not a curated record. The transcript has 4 exons.
CACCCCUUGCUCUACCCACAUGAAACAAUUUGUAGUUCUGUAGCCGAGACUUGGUAUCUCAGGCCCUGCACCUUUCUUUACAGGCCUUUCCAUCUUCCUAGAGUGCCUAACCUGGCCUGUGUGCUUGCAAGCUUCUGCUCAUUCUUCAAUACCCAGCAGAGACUUCCUCCUCCAUGCAGCCUUCCAAGACCCACCCGAGUACAGGUCACUCACUCUGGGGAAAGCCACCUGCCGUGCUGUGAGGACAUUCAAACUGCCUAUGGAGAGGCCCACAUAGUGAGAAAUUAAGGCCCCUGCCAAAACCCACGUGAGCCAUCUUGGAAACAGAUCCUUGAGCCCUAGGCAAGCCCUUCAAUAAUGUAGUGCCAGCCAACAUCUUGACAGCAGCCUGCAAGAGACUCUGAGUUAGAAACACCCAGCGAAGCCAUUCCUGAAUUCCUAAUCCUCAGAAUCAGCAUGAUAAUAGUAAAUGCUUAUUAUCAGAUACCAUCAGCAUAAUGUCAUCGAUGCAGUGGACCAAUGUGACAUGGGGAACAUAAAGAUGGUCACGAUUUUUGCAGACUCCAUGUGCAAAGUAUUAUAGGCCUUUCCAUCUAUCCGGAGUGACCUACCAGAGACAGGACAGUUUGACCAGCAAGCUUCUGAUCACUCUUCAACACCCAGCAAGAAGUCUUAUCCUCCACGCAGCCUUCUAAGACCUCUCUAAGCACAGGUAUCAGACCCUCCUCUGGAUCACUCUGUCUUGUUACUGCAUUUAUCUCACUGGAUUUCAGUGAAGUGUGUAGACAACUAAUUUAUGCCUGCCUGAUCUGUGAGCUCUUCAUUCAAAGCAGUUGGCUCCUGAGUACAGGAUAAACCCCUAGAAUUGAAUAAAUUUGGUCUUACCUCA